Xenia sp. Carnegie-2017 is the source of this 653-nucleotide long non-coding RNA. RefSeq lists it as uncharacterized. NCBI's taxonomy places the organism in Eukaryota, Metazoa, Cnidaria, Anthozoa, Malacalcyonacea, Xeniidae. The record is from RefSeq and is a predicted model, not a curated record. The transcript is spliced from 2 exons.
GGGCAGGUCAUCAAGUCUUUCAUUUGGUUCAUGUCAGGUCUCUCGCGUUUUUCUUCCUGUCAAACCACCGAACUGAAGGACGUUGUAUGUAAAAGUACAAUAUUUCCAUAUUUGCGCGCGUCGUGAAAAAGCUUUUUCACAAUGUCAGAUAUGUGGUCCAAGCUCAAUGCAUAAAAAAUAUCAGACAAUGGUUCCUUGUAACGGAGUUAUUGACAACUCACCAUUUUGAAAAGUCUACCGACUGAAGCAACGAUGGCAGUUUUGAUCCUUUGCUGUUCUUCAAUGUACAAAUGAUGGUUCGCAAUUUACAGUCAAUUGACUCGAAAGGACGUCUUGUUGAUCCGUAAAUGUGAGUUUGGCAGUGUUGAAGAAAGCAGAAACAACAUUAGUUUGCGUGUUUUUAUUGUGGUGUAUUGAUAAGACCUUUCAAUUGAAUGAAAUUUGAUAUGCUGCUUCCCCAGGUCAAGCAGUUUUCUUGGCGGGUUCUCAAUCACUUUGUCUUUUUUAAUUUAUUGCAAUUGACAAUGUAGAAGAUUCAAAGUACAUCAAACAAGCAAAAUUCCCAUUAAUAUAAAAGAGAAAAUAACAUGCAAAUAACACAACAUCAAUAAUGUAUGACAGACAGAGAAAUUAAUGAAUAUUCACGACAAUGA